UGAGAGACAAAUUGAAUCACUCCAUGGU
This 28-nucleotide non-coding RNA is filed under the name Rattus norvegicus (Norway rat). Lineage: Eukaryota; Metazoa; Chordata; Mammalia; Rodentia; Muridae. The record is from RNAcentral.